ACACGACUACAUUAGAUACCCGGGUAGUCCAGGGUGUAAACGCUGCGGGCUUGGUGUUGGGGGUCCUUUGAGGGCGCCCAGUGCCGGAGAGAAGUUGUUAAGCCUGCUGCUUGGGGAGUACGUCCGCAAGAAUGAAACUUAAAGGAAUUGGCGGGGGAGCACCGCAACGGGAGGAGCGUGCGGUUCAAUUGGAUUCAACGCCGGACAACUCACCAGGAGCGACGGUUACAUGAAGGCCAGGCUGAUGACCUUGCCUGAUUUUCCG
This 265-nucleotide ribosomal RNA is filed under the name uncultured archaeon. RNAcentral's name for it is "partial 16S ribosomal RNA". It matches the Rfam family "Archaeal small subunit ribosomal RNA", at positions 717 to 982 of the family's 1478-position model. The record is from RNAcentral.